This is a long non-coding RNA of Drosophila simulans, 2539 nucleotides long. RefSeq lists it as uncharacterized. The record is from RefSeq and is a predicted model, not a curated record. NCBI's taxonomy places the organism in Eukaryota, Metazoa, Arthropoda, Insecta, Diptera, Drosophilidae. The transcript has 3 exons.
UUUGGGUAUGUGGAAAUCCUUUCAUUCUGCGGCAUUCAACAUACAGUGUAAAUUUGUAUUCAUACAUAUGCCAAUCCUGUGGAAGACAUGGGACUUGGCACAGAGCCGGCGCCGAAUAGACGUCGUGAGCCAGCAAAAAGCCAACACAUAAGAUGGCACUCCCUGCGGAAAAUGUCCUCGCAACAUUAUUAAAAUGUUGUCAGGCAUUCCGAACAAGUCUCUGUGCAGUGGAGUUUAUUUCAUAUUUGCAGCCAACCAGAAUCACAUACAUAUAAUAUGUUGCAUGUUGCGACAGUAAAAGUAAAUGCAAUAUGGAAAAUACAAGUUGCCUUAUUGCCUUUAUAAAGCUCUUACGUUUUCCUGAUAUGAAAGUAUUUUCACUCUUUUGCAUAAGAAAGACCAUAUUAAGUGAACAUUAUGGCCGCAAAUAUUUGUCAACCAAGAUAUGACGAGAUACUUAGGAAUUGCUGCUGCCAGGAAGUAUAUAAAAAAUCGAACUGAAAUGGACAAAAUGAAAUGCUUCUCCAGUGUUCAGCAUCAGAUAUUAAGCGACAGCAUGAAUGGUGCUGCUUUUCCGUGGGGUUGGACUGGACCCCAAGGAUGGUCCAUUCGGGGGAUGAUGUUUUCACAGUUGGUUUCAGGGCCUUUUACCUGCGAAGCCAAGGAUUAACAACAGCGAUGCCCAACAAGUGUCGUUAUCUAAAUACCAGGGAUGACAAGAGAAAUAAUCCCACCAAAAUGAGUCACGUAGUAAAAUAGUACUGAUUUAUACAUUUUCUAAAUAUUUCAUAACGUUUUCAAUUACUUACAAUCAAGAAGUUUAUCACUUUAUUAAAUUACAUUUCAGCCUAUCGCAUUUACUUACAGGUGUAUCAUGGAAAACUUUACGAACAAAUUAAUAAUAAGCUAUUUAGUUUUGAAAUAUUAGCUAACAUUUUAAAAUUAUUAUCAAUUAAAUAUUUUCUGUAGGCUGCAUCCCUGGACUCAAACAUUACCUUGCAUAAUCGCCCCUCAUAAAUGAAAUCUUUUCCAAAAGCUUAUGAAUAUAGCCCCAGUUUGUGGACAGAGAUUUUGGAAGAGAAGCCUUUGCCCUGUAUCUUUUUAACGAAAACAAUAACUUCCGCAUGCCCCUUUGCUCUUCUUUAACGGGCUAAUGCGAGUUUCCCAACAAGUUUCAUGCAGCGUUGAAGUUUCCCCUGGAAAACCAGGUUGCCAAGCCGGGGAUGAGGAAAUGGGACGCGUGUGUUGCUAAUUAGAACACAUUUCUUCAAUUUAACCCCCCGCAAAAGUCAGGGAAAACACAAGCAAGUUUCGGGGAAAGCUAAAAACUCCGGGCACAGCUCGCUUUAAUGAAACAAAAUGGGGGUUGAAUACGCACUCGUGAUGAAUAUACGCGCAAUUAUACCUUAAGGUAAUCCACUGUCGUACCUUUGUUAUGUCGAUUCCAAUGAAAACACUUGAAACUUUUCGCAUGAAUGAUAUUGUUGAUGGCUCACGGACCGCGUUGUUGUAUUUGACAAAUAUUUAUGCUAAUAAAAGCGGCAUCACCGUAAAUAUGACCUCCCCUGAAACACUGUUGCUGCUCUUUGUGGCCAAAACUUUCCACGAAAGUUCAAACUCCUGUUGUGAGCCAUACAACCGAACAACCACUGGGGGACAACCCACUGAUGCGGUCGAUGAUGCGAACCUAGCCACACCAGUGAGCAACUAGCAAAGUGGGACCGGUUGGAAGGAUUUCAUCCUUUUAGAGUUUUAAUAUUUAACAAUUUAUUAUGUAUUUAGACCAAGCGAAAGUCUAAAAGCACAUUUGCCAUUGAGUAUUCAAGUUAAUCAUAAGCUGUCUUAAAUUAAUAAGCUUUGUAAUAGUUUACCACAAAAAUAUGUAUAUUUUUAAUGCAUGUGCUUAUUGUCCUAUUUUCGGCAAGUAUAAAAUAAACAAUUUAAUGCCUGCUUUAACCUAUUUUGUUUUUCAUUUCGCCAUGCCGAUGGAAACCGAACUGUUGCUCAAUUAGAAGUGCCGCAACCCUCUAGCCCAACGUUCUUUCCGGCUCGACUUUAUUAAAUUAACGUUUCAUGUUCGUUUAAUGAACAAAGGAAGACGAAAAUAAUGAUGCUCGAAAGGAAGAGGCGUGCCCCACAAGUGGGGAAGGGAAUUUUGGGGCAAGUCAACGUGUCGCAUACUCACCGAAAUACAAAAAUAAAAGACGCAAAUGCGAAAAACGCCGCAAGAUGUUGCCGUUGGUCCUGGUGUUGCUGCUGUUGUGGCUGCUUUUUGCGUAACAAGCCACUCUAAUGACAAUAUUGGCACUUACAACAACAAUAACAACAACCUCAACAGCCACAACAAACACAACAACAAUAAUAAUUUUUGUGGUUAUUACCAAGAUUACAACGGCAGAAGCAAUGACAACUUUUUGUGCCCCACUCCAAGGACACCUACACUUGGAAAUAAUUAGAUAAGUUUUUGAAUAUGUAAAUAUUUAUGUAAAUAUGUAACAUUUUUAAUUUAAAUUCCAAGAAUCCUAUUUUUAGAAUAACA